RNAcentral lists this transfer RNA (59 nucleotides) under Eupleres goudotii (falanouc). RNAcentral's name for it is "tRNA-Ser". The record is from RNAcentral. Lineage: Eukaryota; Metazoa; Chordata; Mammalia; Carnivora; Eupleridae.
GAAAAAGUAUGCAAGAACUGCUAAUUCAUGCCACCAUACCUGAAAGUAUGGCUUUUUCA